UGAAUUGCCUUGAUACUGUUCUGCAGAUGGGUAUUAUGUUGGGUGGUGUUUUGGUCAAAGUUUGUAGAAGAAGCUGCGGAAGAUGAAUACAUGGUCUGGUAAGUCUUGAUUCCCCCCUUCCUUUUCCUGCAAAAUCAUACAUAUAUUUAUUUUGUAUAUGAUCAGGGUCAAACAUGUUUGAUGCUUGCACGUUCCUUAUGAAUAACCCAAAUGCAUGCACGAUGAUUAUAUUAAGGGUUUGGUGUUUAGUAUUAACAAAUCAAUUGGCAUUUGGUUGAUUUAGUUUUUUUCCCAAAUGAUAAGA
Molecule: long non-coding RNA, 304 nt
Filed under: Zostera marina
Lineage: Eukaryota; Viridiplantae; Streptophyta; Magnoliopsida; Alismatales; Zosteraceae
Description: long non-coding RNA (ZMAR_LNC002900)
Source: RNAcentral